CAAUAGCGUAUAUUUAAGUUGUUGCAGUUAAAAAGCUCGUAGUUGGAUUUCGGGUGGGACGCAGCGGUCUCGCAUUGCGUUUGUACUGCUGCAGCCCUCCUUCUUGCCGGGGGCGGCCUCUCGGACUUCACUGUCUUGGGGUCAGAAUCGGCGAUGUUACUUUGAGUAAAUUAGAGUGUUCAAAGCAAGCUUACGCUCUGAAUAUAAUAGCAUGGGAUAACACGACAGGACUCUGGCCUAUCGUGUUGGUCUAUAGGACCAGAGUAAUGAUUAAGAGGGACAGUCGGGGGCAUUCGUAUUCCGUUGUCAGAGGUGAAAUUCUUGGAUUUACGGAAGACGAACAUCUGCGAAAGCAUUUGCCAAGGAUGUUUUCAUUGA
RNAcentral lists this ribosomal RNA (378 nucleotides) under uncultured eukaryote. RNAcentral describes it as "partial 18S ribosomal RNA". It matches the Rfam family "Eukaryotic small subunit ribosomal RNA", at positions 592 to 976 of the family's 1831-position model. The record is from RNAcentral.